RNAcentral lists this ribosomal RNA (1266 nucleotides) under metagenome. RNAcentral describes it as "bacterial LSU rRNA". It matches the Rfam family "Bacterial large subunit ribosomal RNA", at positions 1667 to 2925 of the family's 2925-position model. The record is from RNAcentral.
CCUAGAAGAAUAUUCUAAGGCGCGCGAGUGAACCCUUGUUAAGGAACUCGGCAAAUUAUCCCCGUAACUUUGGGAGAAGGGGAGCCAGAACAUGUGAUUCUCCUAGCGAGAUGAGCGUGGUCUGGCCGCAGAGAAAUGGCCCAGGCGACUGUUUAUCAAAAACACAGCAUUAUGCAAAGACAUUAAGUCGCAGUAUAUGGUGUGAUGCCUGCCCAAUGCCAAAAGGUCAAAAGGAGAUGUUAGAACUUCGGUUCGAAGCAUUGAAUUUAAGUCCUGGUGAAUGGCGGCCGUAAUGAUAACGGUCCUAAGGUAGCGAAAUUCCUUGUCGGGUAAGUUUUGACCCGCACGAAUGGUAUAACGAUCUGGGCGCUGUCUCAACAAGGGGCUCGGUGAAAUUGUAGUAGCAGUAGAUGCUGUUUUCCCGCAAUUAGACGGAAAGACCCCGUGAACCUUUACUGUACUCUGGUAUUGGCUCUUGACUCAUUAUGUGUAGGAUAACCAGGAGACUUUGAAGUGGCGUCGUCAGGCGUCAUGGAGUCAACCUUGAAAUACCGGUCUUGAUGAGUUGAGAAUCUAACGUUGCCCCAUGAAAUUGGGGAACGGACAUUGCCAGAUGGGCAGUUUUACUGGGGCGGUAUCCUCCCAAAGAGUAACGGAGGAGUCCAAAGCUAGCCUCAUCGUGGUUAGUAAUCACGAAUAGAGCGUAAAGGUAUAAGGCUGGUUAACUGUGAGACCAAUAAGUCGAACAGAGACGAAAGUCGGGCUUAGUGAUCCGGCGGUUGAAUGUGGAAUCGCCGUCGCUCAACGGAUAAAAGGUACUCCGGGGAUAACAGGCUAAUCGCCACCAAGAGUUCAUAUCGACGUGGCGGUUUGGCACCUCGAUGUCGACUCAUCACAUCCUGGGGCUGAAGAAGGUCCCAAGGGCUUGGCUGUUCGCCAAUUAAAGUGGUACGCGAGUUGGGUUCAAAACGUCGUGAGACAGUUUGGUCCCUAUCUGUUGUGGGCGUAGGAUAUUUGAGAGGAGCUGUUUUUAGUACGAAAGGACCGAAAUGGACGAACCAAUGGUGAUCCGGUUGUUCUGCCAAGGGCAUAGCCGGGUAGCUACGUUCGGGAAGGAUAAGCGUUGAAAGUAUCUAAACGCCAAGCCUCCCUUAAGAUAAGAUAUCCCAAUGAGACUCCAUAUAGACUAUGUGGUUAAUAGGCUGGGUGUGUAAGCGCAGUAAUGCGUUGAGCUUACCAGUACUAACUGUCCAUUGGCUUGGCCUC